Long non-coding RNA from Lolium rigidum, 654 nucleotides. RefSeq lists it as uncharacterized. The transcript has 3 exons. The record is from RefSeq and is a predicted model, not a curated record. Lineage: Eukaryota; Viridiplantae; Streptophyta; Magnoliopsida; Poales; Poaceae.
AUGGAGAAGACAUGCAAGGUUCAUGAUCCUAAAUAUGUGGCAGUAGAUGAUGAUAUACCUGAAGAUGAAGAUGUACUAGAUCCAUCUAUAUCGACAAACAAAAGAAAGAAAGAUGAUGAUGCAGGUGAUGCUGCAGAUAAUGAAGUCCUCAUCAACCUUAUAAGGAAAAAGGCUAGAACAACACCAGAAAAGCCCAACACAUGGACCAAGAAGAAGACAAAUGUGAAGAUAGCUACAACACAAGAGAAGACCAAGAACAAGACGCCUCUAACGAAAGCUCCAGCACAAGAGAAAUCCAAGAAAAAGACCCCAGUGAAGAAGACUACAUCGACAACGAAGAAAACAAAAAAGAAUGUUCCAUUUGCACCUGUGCUACCUCCGCCACCAUCGCCUCCAGUACUGCAGCCUCCAUCUGGUGCAAAACGAAGCCUCCUCUAUUGGCUUGGUGGCUGAUUCAAUCAUGUUUGUGAAACUAUGUAGCUUGUUGCUUUUGGUACUUCUUCCGCAUUCCAACAACAUGUUUAAAGUCUUAUCUGAACUUAUUAAAUUGUGCUUGUGAGACUAUCUAUGAUUUUGUUUCAGUUCUGAUUGCUAAUUUGUGACAAAUUGAGGGGAAAUGCUGCUGAAUUUUUCUGUAUUUGUUGUUGAAGUUUC